AUGAGUUGGACAUCGAAGGGGGGCCUUUUUUUGAGGACGAGCUCGCCAACCAAGCCGAAGCGCAAGAGCAGGCGGACGAAGGCGUACACGGUGGCUGAGGACAAGCUUCUUUGUGAGUGUUGGAGGGACACUGGGCAAGACCCCAAGACCGGCGCCGAACAAAAGGCAUCAACCUUUUGGAGUCGUGUCCAUCGUGAGUCCCAUGAGCACAAGAAAUUUGCACCAUACCAAAUGCAAAUCACGCGCGGAUGGAUGUCCAUUUCAAAGCGUUGGAAGGUGAUCCAAUGA
Molecule: ribosomal RNA, 288 nt
Filed under: Triticum aestivum (bread wheat)
Lineage: Eukaryota; Viridiplantae; Streptophyta; Magnoliopsida; Poales; Poaceae
Description: partial small subunit ribosomal RNA
Source: RNAcentral